CGGGGGUAGAGCACUGUUUCGGCUAGGGGGCCAUCCCGGCUUACCAACCCGAUGCAAACUGCGAAUACCGGAGAAUGUUAUCACGGGAGACACACGGCGGGUGCUAACGUCCGUCGUGAAGAGGGAAACAACCCAGACCGCCAGCUAAGGUCCCAAAGUCAUGGUUAAGUGGGAAACGAUGUGGGAAGGCCCAGACAGCCAGGAUGUUGGCUUAGAAGCAGCCAUCAUUUAAAGAAAGCGUAAUAGCUCACUGGUCGAGUCGGCCUGCGCGGAAGAUGUAACGGGGCUAAACCAUGCACCGAAGCUGCGGCAGCGACACUGUGUGUUGUUGGGUAGGGGAGCGUUCUGUAAGCCUGUGAAGGUGUGUCGUGAGGCAUGCUGGAGGUAUCAGAAGUGCGAAUGCUGACAUAAGUAACGAUAAAGCGGGUGAAAAGCCCGCUCGCCGGAAGACCAAGGGUUCCUGUCCAACGUUAAUCGGGGCAGGGUGAGUCGACCCCUAAGGCGAGGCCGAAAGGCGUAGUCGAUGGGAAACGGGUUAAUAUUCCCGUACUUGGUGUUACUGCGAAGGGGGGACGGAGAAGGCUAUGUUGGCCGGGCGACGGUUGUCCCGGUUUAAGCGUGUAGGUGUGUGUUCCAGGUAAAUCCGGUUCACUUUAACACUGAGGCGUGACGACGAGGCACUACGGUGCUGAAGCAACAAAUGCCCUGCUUCCAGGAAAAGCCUCUAAGCAUCAGGUAACAUCAAAUCGUACCCCAAACCGACACAGGUGGUCAGGUAGAGAAUACCAAGGCGCUUGAGAGAACUCGGGUGAAGGAACUAGGCAAAAUGGUGCCGUAACUUCGGGAGAAGGCACGCUGACACGUAGGUGAAGUGAUUUACUCAUGGAGCUGAAGUCAGUCGAAGAUACCAGCUGGCUGCAACUGUUUAUUAAAAACACAGCACUGUGCAAACACGAAAGUGGACGUAUACGGUGUGACGCCUGCCCGGUGCCGGAAGGUUAAUUGAUGGGGUCAGCGCAAGCGAAGCUCCUGAUCGAAGCCCCGGUAAACGGCGGCCGUAACUAUAACGGUCCUAAGGUAGCGAAAUUCCUUGUCGGGUAAGUUCCGACCUGCACGAAUGGCGUAAUGAUGGCCAGGCUGUCUCCACCCGAGACUCAGUGAAAUUGAACUCGCUGUGAAGAUGCAGUGUACCCGCGGCAAGACGGAAAGACCCCGUGAACCUUUACUAUAGCUUGACACUGAACAUUGAGCCUUGAUGUGUAGGAUAGGUGGGAGGCUUUGAAGUGUGGACGCCAGUCUGCAUGGAGCCGACCUUGAAAUACCACCCUUUAAUGUUUGAUGUUCUAACGUGGACCCGUUACCCGGGUUGCGGACAGUGUCUGGUGGGUAGUUUGACUGGGGCGGUCUCCUCC
This 1412-nucleotide ribosomal RNA is filed under the name Salmonella enterica. RNAcentral describes it as "partial 23S ribosomal RNA". It matches the Rfam family "Bacterial large subunit ribosomal RNA", at positions 897 to 2290 of the family's 2925-position model. Lineage: Bacteria; Pseudomonadati; Pseudomonadota; Gammaproteobacteria; Enterobacterales; Enterobacteriaceae. The record is from RNAcentral.